Molecule: long non-coding RNA, 330 nt
Organism: Cyprinus carpio (common carp)
Lineage: Eukaryota; Metazoa; Chordata; Actinopteri; Cypriniformes; Cyprinidae
Exons: 2
Source: RefSeq, a predicted model, not a curated record
CGAAGUGCGCAUUUGAAGUGCGAAUGCGUCACAGUGGCGCGACGAAGACUGACGAGUUUCGAAAGCAACUUCAAAUGCGCCCUUCAUUUCCCAUGAAAAUUAAGUGUACAUCUAAUGGACACUUCGCACCCUUCCAUAUCCCAGAAUCACUUGCGUGCAUAUGACGAAUGUGUUUAUAUUCAGAGGCAGGUGAGAGUUCUGUGGAGGACUUCACAUUGAAAUGCAUGGUUUAUUUGUGAAGUGUCCUGAGACAGGUGAGGGAGCAAGUGGACAGGGAGGACAUCAAACUCAAACAAAUACAUUCUUCACUAGCCAAGAGAAAACCGUGGG